RNAcentral lists this ribosomal RNA (229 nucleotides) under uncultured bacterium. RNAcentral describes it as "partial 16S ribosomal RNA". It matches the Rfam family "Bacterial small subunit ribosomal RNA", at positions 568 to 796 of the family's 1533-position model. The record is from RNAcentral.
UGCGUAGGCGGAUUAAUAAGUCAGUGGUGAAAUCUUUCGGCUCAAACGAGAAACUGCCAUUGAUACUGUUAAUCUUGAGUUCGGUUGAGGUAGGCGGAAUGUGUAAUGUAGCGGUGAAAUGCUUAGAUAUUACACAGAACACCAAUUGCGUAGGCAGCUUACUAGACCGACACUGACGCUGAGGCACGAAAGCGUGGGGAGCGAACAGGAUUAGAUACCCUGGUAGUCC